UACGUAGGGGGCAAGCGUCGUCCGGAAUCAUUGGGCGUAAAGAGCGCGUAGGCGGUUCGGUAAGUCCGCUGUGAAAGUCAAGGGCUCAACCCUUGAAUGCCGGCGGAUACUGUCGGACUAGAGUCCGGAAGAGGCGAGUGGAAUUCCUGGUGUAGCGGUGAAAUGCGCAGAUAUCAGGAGGAACACCUAUGGCGAAGGCAGCUCGCUGGGACGUUACUGACGCUGAGACGCGAAAGCCAGGGGAGCAAACGGG
This 253-nucleotide ribosomal RNA is filed under the name uncultured bacterium. Its description in RNAcentral is "partial 16S ribosomal RNA". It matches the Rfam family "Bacterial small subunit ribosomal RNA", at positions 524 to 776 of the family's 1533-position model. The record is from RNAcentral.